AAAACGCACAGCCCACUCAAAACACGCCCUAGUUCACACGCAGUGCAUCGCAACUGUUGAAUAUUAGACACAAAACUGCAACGCGUCGUUAAAAUGUCGAGUUUCACGAGGGGUGAUGGGGUCCUCGCGAGGGAUUCACACUACUCACUACUGAAACUAAUGGGACGCCGUUAGAAUGAACGAACGUCACUGUAUAAAACGUAAAGGUUCAAGUUCAGUUCUAGAUUUAAUUUGAUAUGCAUUAUAAAAAAAUAAAGUUAAGCACAAAUAUUGAGACGAAACAUUUGAUUGAAAUAAGGGAAACAUGCUUAAUAUAAAUAGCAUAAAAUACAUGGUAUCAAUAUACAUAUAUAUUUAAAUAAAAGUUUUAAAUCGUAAUCGAUUCAUAUAUUGCUUUAAAACAGACUUAUUGAAUAUUUGGACACUUGUCCAUGAUUAAUGUGCUGAACAACACUAACACACCUGUGUGAACUUAAAGAGAACACUGGCUUCAUCUACUAAAUAUCACCUCGACACAACUGCGUACAGUGCACAUGACCAGAAGGGGGCACUAGAUGAACAACAUCACACUGUCUUCUGUAGCAGGAAGACCAAAUGACAGCACAUGCAGAGGGACCGAGCCCGUGUGAAAGAGUUCUGAUGCUCACAGCGGAGACAAACCUGAGACGUGAAGAUCUGGCUGCUGUUGAUCAGAAGAAACCAGUCACU
Molecule: long non-coding RNA, 708 nt
Organism: Triplophysa dalaica
Lineage: Eukaryota; Metazoa; Chordata; Actinopteri; Cypriniformes; Nemacheilidae
Exons: 3
Source: RefSeq, a predicted model, not a curated record